AGGGUGCCAGUGAACCGCACCUCUAAUACACAAUAUUGGGCACAGUUCACGAAGCUUUACCCGAGACGCCGCAUUGCAGUUCGGGAACUUCAUGCUGUGCCUGUGUGGCGGAGGUUUGUUGCCCACAUUCACACGGAUUACGAGAGUUGUCGGCUUCGCAGUUCUCAUCGCUACAAUCGUG
Molecule: long non-coding RNA, 181 nt
Organism: Rhipicephalus sanguineus (brown dog tick)
Lineage: Eukaryota; Metazoa; Arthropoda; Arachnida; Ixodida; Ixodidae
Exons: 3
Source: RefSeq, a predicted model, not a curated record